UAUCACUAAGCGGAGGAAAAGAAACUAACCAGGAUUCCCCUAGUAACGGCGAGUGAAGAGGGAAGAGCCCAGCACCGAAGCCUGCGGUAGCUUUACUGUUAGGCAAUGUGGUGUUUGGGUCGGCUUGCAGGAUUGCCACUCCAUCCGAAGUCCAGCAUUGAGUAUGGCACACUGGAUUUGGCCCAGAGAGGGUGAAAGGCCCGUACGGGUGGAGGUCUCAGACAAGUUAGGCAGUUCUCUAGGCCGGCCUUAGAGUCGGGUUGUUUGGGAAUGCAGCCCAAAGCGGGUGGUAAACUCCAUCCAAGGCUAAAUACAAGCACGAGUCCGAUAGCAAACAAGUACCGUGAGGGAAAGUUGAAAAGUACUUUGAAGAGAGAGUAAACAGUACGUGAAACCGCGUGCAGGUAAACGGGUGGCGUCAAGCUGUACGCCCAGAGGAUUCAGCCGGUUAGUGUGUAGUUAUGCGCCUGCGCAUCUUGGCCAGAGUAAAGUUGACUAGUCCACUGGAAGACGGUGGGCCCCAUCGCAAGGUGGGGAUUUGCGUACCGGGCGGAAGCCGGAGCAAGCUAGUUGUCUGUUGGGCUCUGCUAGCCGGUGCACUUUCUCUGUGGUGGACACCACGACCGAUGGAACUGUCAGUCUGCUGUGGUCAAGUCGUUUGUGGUUGGUCCUCGUGGCCUACUGCAUUCGAUCACGGGCAAAUCAGGCAAACGGCGUAGGUGAACCCUCCGGGGGGCAUCUGCGUGUUAUCGGUGGCCGGUUGCUUCACGGGCUUGCCGGUCCUGCAAGUUGACGCAGGUAACUGGUAUAGGUCUGGUGGAUCAUGGUGGUAAGAAUAACUGUGCAGGGCAUCGUGACAAUAAUCCCACAUAUGCAGGGUGGCAUGCCUGUCAACGCCGCCGGAAAGUGGGGUGCGCCACGCCAGCCUGCUUGGGUUGGGUCGGACCGUCGAGUCACUCACGAAAAGUGGGUCCGGCGGGGGCCUUGGCUCAGGUUGGUGCCGUAAGGGGGUACCUUCACCGGGGGGGCGCAAGUCUCUUCGGGGUGGGCAUCUUAGGCGUGGUGUGCUCCAGUGUCACCUUGUGUGGGUUUUCAGUAAGUGGUGUAGUGGUAGACGAGCUACCCGACCCGUCUUGAAACACGGACCAAGGAGUUUAACAUGUGUGCAAGUCACUGGGUCCUACGAAACCCAAAGGCGCAAUGAAAGUAAAGCUUCGGAUCAUUCGUGGUCUGGAGUGAGGUGAGAUCCUGUCGUUGUUCACGCCGGCCUCCAAUGGAAGCAGGCAUUUUGCGCGGCAGGCGCAUCACCGGCCCGUCCCAUGAUGUGGUCAUUGGAAAAGGCUGCGGUUGGCUUCGGCCGGCUGUAGUACUUCUAGUGCGUCAUCGGGGCGGAGCAUGAGCAUACAUGUUGAGACCCGAAAGAUGGUGAACUAUGCUUGCGUAGGUUGAAGCCAGAGGAAACUCUGGUGGAGGACCGCAGCGAUUCUGACGUGCAAAUCGAUCGUCAAACGUGAGUAUAGGGGCGAAAGA
Molecule: ribosomal RNA, 1530 nt
Filed under: Rhinebothrium sp. 10 Healy et al. (2009)
Lineage: Eukaryota; Metazoa; Platyhelminthes; Cestoda; Rhinebothriidea; Rhinebothriidae
Description: eukaryotic LSU rRNA
Rfam family: Eukaryotic large subunit ribosomal RNA
Source: RNAcentral